RNAcentral lists this long non-coding RNA (947 nucleotides) under Homo sapiens (human). RNAcentral describes it as "HSALNT0192848". The record is from RNAcentral. Lineage: Eukaryota; Metazoa; Chordata; Mammalia; Primates; Hominidae.
UGUUAUUUGAGUAAAGUUGUGGCUUACAUAAUGCUUCCACAUGCACCAUUCUACUUAUUAGACAACCCUGUGAAGUGGAUUCAAAUACUCUCAUUUUAUAGAUAAGAACAAUUUAGAUCUAGAAAUAGUAAGGAACUUAAAUCCAAUUUACACAACAAUGUUUUCUUGUUUCCCUGUUCUUGUUACUACCCUUCUGUACUUCAUCUUAAUAUAGAAUGGCCAGGAGAUAAGUGAAGCUAUAGAACUGACUGGGUGAUUCCAGAAAUUGGAGCUAUAGAGUCCCAUAGUAACUUAUGAAUUGUCCUACAGUGCAGUCCUACAGCUCCGUUAUGAUAAUCCUCCAGAUGAAGCUAUGUUCAAGACUGGACUAGAUCUUGUGCUAUAAAGCCACACUGGAACCAUCUCCAAUUCCCCACCUUGCUUCAGUUUUAUAUUCUUGCAGAUAGCCUCUUUGAAUCCAUCAGACAUGAUCUCACUUUGUUGCCCCAAGCUGGAGUGCAGUGGCACAAUCUCAGCUCACUGCAGCCUCAACCUCCCAGACGCAAGUGCACCUCCAGCCGCAGCCUCCCAGAGAGAAUACGAUCGACUAUGCAUGACAGAUGAAGAGAGAGGCAGAGGAAGAACACCUAAUCAGUCUACAUUCUUCUAACUAAUAACCUAAGUGAAUGCUAAAUUGAAUAAUGUCAUUUGAAAUAAAAAGUUUGUGAAUUAGCCUGAUUUAAUUAUUCACAUUGUAAAUAUAUACCAAAAUAUCACGUUGUACCCCACAAGUAUAUGGAAUUAUUAUUUGUCAAUUAAAAUUAAAAUUUCAAAAGAAGAACAUGAGAAAAAAAAAUUCAGGUAGGUUUCCACAGAACAGAGUGACAAAAUAAUGAGUCAAUAUAGUGUAAACAAAAAGGUACCAGUAUAUAAAGCUGGUCCAGAAGUCAUUUAUUGAAGCACAACAG